This 72-nucleotide transfer RNA is filed under the name Camelus bactrianus (Bactrian camel). It matches the Rfam family "tRNA". Rfam says of the family: Transfer RNA (tRNA) molecules are approximately 80 nucleotides in length. Their secondary structure includes four short double-helical elements and three loops (D, anti-codon, and T loops). RNAcentral also lists the same sequence under 2 other names. Lineage: Eukaryota; Metazoa; Chordata; Mammalia; Artiodactyla; Camelidae. The record is from Rfam by way of RNAcentral.
GGGGGUAUAGCUCAAAGGUAGAGUGUGUGCUUAGCAUGCACAAGGUCCUGGGUUCAGUCCUCAGUCCCUCCA